AGGACAGAGAUGUGUUGAUACAGGGAGACAGAUGGACAUCUGUGGAUUAGGUGAAGGAGGGGUUGAGGUCAGGACAGAGAUGUGUUGAUACAUGGGAGAGGCAGAUGGACACCUGUGGAUUAGGUGAAGGAGGGGUUGAGGUCAGGACAGCGAUGUGUUGAUACAGGGAGACAGAUGGUCAUCUGUGGAAUAGGUGAAGGAGGGGUUGAGGUCAGGAGGUGAGGACAGAGAUGUGUUGAUACAGGGGAGACAGAUGGACAUCUGUGGAUUAGGUGAAGGAGGGGUUGAGGUCAGGAGGUGAGGACAGAGAUGUGUUGAUACAUGGGGAGACAGAUGGACAUCUGUGGACUAGGUGAAGGAGGGGUUGAGGUCAGAGAUGUGUUGAUACAGGGAGACAUCUGGGUAUUAGAUGAGAGGUUGAGGUCAGGACAGAUUCUCUGAAGAGAGUAAUUUAAUGUUUGGUAUCCUGUUACCCUCUUUAUUAGCUUCCUGUGGAGCCAUGAAAUGUAGGGAUUGGAGAGAAAGGGGAGUGUCUUAAGUAGGAUGUAUAUAAACUGUGAAGUCUGAAAUCUUUAGCUGUCUGAUUUUCUGCUGUACAGAACCUUUGGGAAAUGAUUAAACUUGGUUAAAGCUUC
Oncorhynchus tshawytscha (Chinook salmon) is the source of this 635-nucleotide long non-coding RNA. RefSeq lists it as uncharacterized. The record is from RefSeq and is a predicted model, not a curated record. Lineage: Eukaryota; Metazoa; Chordata; Actinopteri; Salmoniformes; Salmonidae. The transcript has 2 exons.